ACUGUGCCUCCCGCCGCUGGCUGCCGCCCCAGCGCCAGCAGGACUCCGGCUUUGACUGGGGACUCACUGGAGGCCACAUCGCUUUUGCUUCCAGUUUCCAAACUGCCACCACCUCGAAACUGCCAGACCUUUGAAAGCUGAGGCACAGUGCCUCACCCCUUCCUUCAGAAGACUGUCCAGCUCCCCCUCCUUCCCCUCCUCCCUCCCCCACUGGGGACCUCUCCUAGGGGAGGGGUCUGGUGUCCUCAGCUGGCUCCUCUCCACCUUCGCUUCUACCCGGGGGCUCCAGUGCAUCUGGCUUUAUCUCUGGGGUGCUUCCAUACAAAGGGGACAGAAGAGAUGAUGGAAGGCCUCAGUACUGCAGGAGGGGAGACGGAUGUCAUCUACAAUCACACAAUACAUGGGAGGUCACAGGGUCUCGGGCCGGGUGCAGUGGCUCACUCCUCUAAUCUCAGCACUUUGGGAAGCCGAGGUCUACAACAUCCAGAGCAGCCACAUUGCAAGUGCUCAGUAGCCACAUGUGGCUGGCACAUGUGGCCCAUGGCAACUGUGCUGGACAUGGUGGGUCCAGACCUCACUUCAUUUUAUGUAUAAACACCAAGUAUCUUG
Long non-coding RNA from Homo sapiens (human), 609 nucleotides. Ensembl annotates it as Down syndrome critical region 9. Its record names the gene DSCR9. NCBI's taxonomy places the organism in Eukaryota, Metazoa, Chordata, Mammalia, Primates, Hominidae. The record is from Ensembl.